RNAcentral lists this ribosomal RNA (167 nucleotides) under Amphibalanus improvisus. Its description in RNAcentral is "partial 12S ribosomal RNA". Lineage: Eukaryota; Metazoa; Arthropoda; Thecostraca; Balanomorpha; Balanidae. The record is from RNAcentral.
UUUUCACUUCUUUAAAAUUACCUAGAUAAAAAAUUCUUAUAUUUCUAAUAUUUUCUACUGAGGGUUUCUUUUCAAAUUUUAUCAUUAAAAUUCUUCGCUUGAACUUACAUGUAGAACUAUUUUAAAGCUAAAAAUACAACACAGAUCUCAACGAUCAUAAAAAUUGU